This 762-nucleotide ribosomal RNA is filed under the name Sarcocystis sp. ex Martes pennanti RG-2011. RNAcentral's name for it is "SSU rRNA". It matches the Rfam family "Eukaryotic small subunit ribosomal RNA", at positions 187 to 945 of the family's 1831-position model. The record is from RNAcentral. Lineage: Eukaryota; Apicomplexa; Conoidasida; Eucoccidiorida; Sarcocystidae.
CCUCGUGGAAGGGUAGUGUUUAUUAGAUACAGAACCAACCCACCUUCGGGUGGUCCCCAGGUGAUUCAUAGUAACCGAACGGAUCGCAUUAUGGCCUUUUGGUCGGCGAUGGAUCAUUCAAGUUUCUGACCUAUCAGCUUUCGACGGUACUGUAUUGGACUACCGUGGCAGUGACGGGUAACGGGGAAUUAGGGUUCGAUUCCGGAGAGGGAGCCUGAGAAACGGCUACCACAUCUAAGGAAGGCAGCAGGCGCGCAAAUUACCCAAUCCUGACUCAGGGAGGUAGUGACAAGAAAUAACAACACUGGAAAUUAUAUUUCUAGUGAUUGGAAUGAUGGGAAUCCAAACCCCUUUCAGAGUAACAAUUGGAGGGCAAGUCUGGUGCCAGCAGCCGCGGUAAUUCCAGCUCCAAUAGCGUAUAUUAAAGUUGUUGCAGUUAAAAAGCUCGUAGUUGGAUAUCUGCUGGGAGCAGCCAGUCCGCCUUAACGGGUGUGCACUUGGUGAAUUCUGGCAUCCUCCUGAUUGGUGUCAUCAUCACUUCAUUGUGUUGGUGGCAGCUGUCAGGACUGUUACUUUGAGAAAAUUAGAGUGUUUCAAGCAGGCUUGUUGCCUUGAAUACUGCAGCAUGGAAUAACAAGAUAGGAUUUCGGUUCUAUUUUGUUGGUUUCUAGGACUGAAGUAAUGAUUAAUAGGGACAGUUGGGGGCAUUCGUAUUUAACUGUCAGAGGUGAAAUUCUUAGAUUUGUUAAAGACGAACUACUG